CACCUGUGGUUGUUUGAAGUGAAAAAAAAAAAUUCCUAAUCAUAAUCGAAACCGAUUAGAUUCAGACUCAAACAAUUUUGAUAGGUCUCAUGUUGAUCAGAAAAUUUUGGGGCCAAUAAUUAUAAUUUCUACAAUAGGCCCAUUCAUGAAAUGUGAAUUAAUGGGCCUCAUGAAAGCCCUUUAAAAUUUUAGGCCUAUACAAUAA
This 205-nucleotide long non-coding RNA is filed under the name Ananas comosus (pineapple). RNAcentral's name for it is "long non-coding RNA (ACOM_LNC016612)". Lineage: Eukaryota; Viridiplantae; Streptophyta; Magnoliopsida; Poales; Bromeliaceae. The record is from RNAcentral.